UUAAAGCCGAGGGGCCUUGCGGAAACGUCAGGAGACGUCUACCGGACACAGUAGCAAGUGAGCCCGCCCUACAACCUUGUCUGAUGACGGUGUAGUGAAAUACUGGGUCAUGAGAAUGGCCAAUCAGACAGUAGCAAU
Molecule: non-coding RNA, 138 nt
Filed under: unclassified sequences
Description: poplar-1 RNA
Rfam family: poplar-1 RNA
About the family: metagenome only. Environment (Groundwater, Oak Ridge)
Source: Rfam by way of RNAcentral